This is a non-coding RNA of Podarcis lilfordi (Lilford's wall lizard), 82 nucleotides long. The record is from the annotation of a GenBank genome assembly. Lineage: Eukaryota; Metazoa; Chordata; Lepidosauria; Squamata; Lacertidae.
AUAUGGAUAGCUCAGUUGGCUAGCGCAUGGCACUGAUAAUGCCAAGGUUGCAGGUUCGAACCCUGUAGGAUAUCUGCAUAUU